This 800-nucleotide ribosomal RNA is filed under the name uncultured bacterium. RNAcentral's name for it is "bacterial SSU rRNA". It matches the Rfam family "Bacterial small subunit ribosomal RNA", at positions 8 to 824 of the family's 1533-position model. The record is from RNAcentral.
AGAGUUUGAUCCUGGCUCAGGACGAACGCUGGCGGCGUGCUUAACACAUGCAAGUCGAGCGAUGAGAUCACUUCGGUGAAGGAUUAGCGGCGAACAGGUGAGGAACACGUGAAGAAUCUGCCUUCAACUCUGGGAUAACUCCGGGAAACCGGGGCUAAUACCGGAUAUGAGCCUUGAUCGCAUGAUCGGGGCUGGAAAGUUUUUCGGUUGAAGAUGACUUCGCGGCCUAUCAGCUUGUUGGUGAGGUAAUGGCUCACCAAGGCGACGACGGGUAGCCGGCCUGAGAGGGCGACCGGCCACACUGGGACUGAGACACGGCCCAGACUCCUACGGGAGGCAGCAGUGGGGAAUAUUGGGCAAUGGAGGAAACUCUGACCCAGCGACGCCGCGUGCGGGAUGAAGGCCUUCGGGUUGUAAACCGCUUUCAGCAGGGAAUAAGCGCAAGUGAAGGUACCUGCAGAAGAAGCACCGGCUAACUAUGUGCCAGCAGCCGCGGUAAUACAUAGGGUGCAAGCGUUGUCCGGAAUUAUUGGGCGUAAAGAGCUCGUAGGUGGUUUGUUACGUCGGUUGUGAAAUUCAGGGGCUCAACCCCUGACUUGCAGCCGAUACGGGCAAGCUAGAGUUUGGUAGGGGAGACUGGAAUUCCUGGUGUAGCGGUGGAAUGCGCAGAUAUCAGGAGGAACACCGAUGGCGAAGGUAGGUCUCUGGGCCAAUACUGACACUGAGGAGCGAAAGCGUGGGGAGCGAACAGGAUUAGAUACCCUGGUAGUCCACGCCGUAAACGGUGGGCGCUAGUUGUG